GCCUCUACUUUUUACUUAUCUAACUAUACUGACCUUUGGGAGUUUCUUUCUGACGUCAGGUGCUUCGAUGUGUCAUAGUAGCUUUAGAUAAUUAUUGACAUUAAUUAUGCCUUAGACUCUCGGUGUAGGUAGAUUGUAGAUCAUCCCAGGUAGGCAACAUUCAAGCGACCAAACUUCUCUAGUGCUCUUGGAUCUGAGGUUGGCCCAUUUAGUUUUUUAGGUU
This 223-nucleotide long non-coding RNA is filed under the name Elaeis guineensis (African oil palm). RNAcentral describes it as "long non-coding RNA (EGUI_LNC005013)". The record is from RNAcentral. Lineage: Eukaryota; Viridiplantae; Streptophyta; Magnoliopsida; Arecales; Arecaceae.